This 28746-nucleotide long non-coding RNA is filed under the name Lactuca sativa (garden lettuce). RNAcentral's name for it is "long non-coding RNA (LSAT_LNC009060)". The record is from RNAcentral. Lineage: Eukaryota; Viridiplantae; Streptophyta; Magnoliopsida; Asterales; Asteraceae.
GUCUUGAACACACUCUAUGAUACUAGUUAACAUAUAAUACCUCAUAUAUGUAUCCAAUUAGUCUUAAACUACUAAUUGAAAAUUUUAAGACAUCCUAGAACAUGAUAAACACUUUAUAUAAGUCUUAUAAGCCUUCAGGAUUGCAUCUACGUUGUUGUAGGACAAGGCUAGUGGGUUUAGGGUUCCAAAGGACCCCAUUCUUGAGUUUACUCUCCAAUACCAUAACAACAAGGAGUUUACGGUCGUAAACCCUUGAUUUUAUGUCCGUAAGCUCCUAAGCCUUAGUUUAUUUGGUGUUUUGAAGUCUUAUAUGUCCCUUAGAAGUAUUGCCACUUGAUGGCAUAGUCCGUGGAAGAGAUUAGGGCACCUUUCAACUCCUUUGAGGAGUUCACGGCCCUGUGACCAAUUCCCUUAGAGAUUACGGCCGUAAUCUCUCACGGGUAUGGUGUGUUUGGUGAUUUCAAGUCCCUAAUUUAACUAGGAAUGAGUCUAGGCUAGUGUCCAAGUCUUAUGGAGAGUUUAAAGCACACUUUGGCGCUUUUGUUUGGAGUUCACGGUCCAAGAACUUCUUGGGCCGUGAACACCUUACUCUUGGUGUUCUUGGGGUGUUUUCUAGUCCUACAUACAUUAGGAUACGAGUCUAGGCCAAUUUCAUUGCAAAAGGAAGGGACUAGGGCACUCAUUUGUCCCUUAAAGAAGGGUUUACGGUCCAAGAUGUUCUUGGGCCGUAAACUCUUUGAGCUUGUGGUUUUCAUAUGAUUUCAAGGUUUUUAGACACAUAAUAAUCUCUAUAAUACACCUAUAUAGAAGUACUCGCGUUUUGGGACGAAAGUCCGAAGAUCCGUGAGAGAGAGAAUUUGGCGUUUCUCUAGUUGGAAAUGUAACAAAUGAAUAAACAUGGCUAAGAACCAUAUAUAUACCCCUGGGGUUUUUGGCAGAAAAUAUUUUAUUCAAGCAAUGAACUCCAAUAUCAUAGAGUUUUGGAAUAACAGAGUUGCACAAAACCCUAGUGCAUCCUCUCUCCUGAUAUCUCUUUAAGUGUAAAUCCUGAAAUACUCAAACUUAUACUAAAAGGUCUUAAAAUUUAUUGCAACUGUUCUGACUUCUAUUGACUUGAUAUUGUUUGUACAAAAUAGAAAUUUCGAGUUGUCACAUCAUCCCCUCCUUAGAAGGAAUUUUGUCUUGAAACUAGAAUUUAAGCAAUUAAGUAGUUACAAAUAACUAAGUAAAAACACGAGGAUAUUUCAGUUUCAUCUGAUCCUCACGCUCCCAAGUGAAUUCCGGUCCUUGCUUGGCGUUCCAGCAAACCUUAACUAUCGGGAUACGACUUUGUUUCGUUUGGUUGACCUCUCGGUCCAUGAUCUCUACUAGUUCCUCCACGAAGUUGAGGCUCUCGUUGAUCUCGAUCUCGUCGAGUCGAAUAACAAGAGUCUCGUCGGACAGACACUUUUUCAAGUUCGAUACGUGGAAGGUAGAGUGUACGCUACUGAGUUCGUGCGGUAAGUUAAGUUUGUAAGCUAUAGGGCCGAUUCUUGCGAGAAUCUCAAAGUGCCCAAUGUACCUUGGAUUUAGCAUUCCACGCUUUCUAAAGCGUAUCAAGCCCUUCCAGGGUGAGACCUUCAAUAGAACACGGUCGCCCACUUGGAAUUCCAACGAUUUCCUACGUUUAUCAGCGUAGCUUUUCUGUCGGUCUCUGGAGGCUUUCAAUCGUUCACAGAUUUGAACGAUCUUCUCCGUUGUUUCCCAUAUAAUCUCUGGGCCUGUGAGAGUGCUUUCAGGAAUUCAUCCUUUAGCUAACUGGGUAUCACCCACCUCAGCCCAGCAUAUAGUGGAUCUGCACUUUCGGCCAUAGAAGGCCUCGAAAGGAGCAGCCUUUAUGCUCGUGUGAUAACUGUUGUUGUAGGAAAAUUAGAAAAGGGGUAAAUGAGUAUCCCACGCUUUCCUAAAGUCUAUCACACAGGCUCGCAACAUAUCUUCCAAGGUUUGGAUAGUUCUCUCGCUUUGCCCGUCGGUCUGUCGAUGGUAGGCUGUACUCAUGUCCAGCCUAGUUCCUAUGGAACUUUGUAACGACUGCCAGAACCUUGAAGUGAAUCUACUAUCUCUAUCCGAGAUAAUGGAUAAGGGAACACUGUGCAGUCGUACAAUAUCCCUAAUGUAUGUUCUUGUAAGCUUCUCCAUCUUGUCUAUUUCUUUGAUCGACAGGAAGUGUGUAAACUUGGUCAGUCUAUCGAUGAUGACCCAUAUGGAAUCAAGUCCACCCGUCGUCUUGGGCAACUUGGUUAUGAAAUCCUUAGUUAUCCGCUCCCACUUCCAUUCCGGUAUCUCGGGCUAUUGUAAUAGACCGGAGGGUUUCUAGUAUUCGACCUUGACAUUUGUGCAAGUAAGGCAUUUAUCCACGAAGGUAGCAAUCUCUGCUUUCAUGUUAGGCCACCAAUAUAACUUUUUGAGGUCCAGAUACAUCUUAUCUGAUCCCGAGUGCAUGGAAUAACGAGUGUUGUGCGCUUCGUUAAUGACCAAGUCUCUGAAACCACCGAGUUUCGGGGUCCAAAUCCGGUCGAUGAAAUAAUAAGCUCCGCCACCCUUAACCUCCAUGUUCUUAUCCAUCCCUCUUAGGGAUUCACCCGCCACAUUUUCAGGCUCAAAGCAUCGAGCUGAGCUGCCUUAAUUUGUGUGGAUAAGUGUGAAUGGAUAGUAAUAGUCAAUGAUUUGACUCUACGACCAGAAUAUUCCUUCCGACUUUGGGCGUCAGCUACUACGUUGGCUUUACCCAAAUGAUAACGAAUUUCACAUUCGUAAUCAAUAAGUAGCUCGACCCACCUUCGUUGUCUCAUGUUGAGCUCCUUCUGGUCGAAGAUGUGUUGUAAGCUCUUGUAGUCUGUAAAGAUAGUGCUUUUCAUUCCGUACAAGUAAUGUCUCCACAUCUUCAGAGAAAACACAACUACUCCUAGUUCAAGAUUGUGGGUCGUGUAGUUGACCUCAUGUGUCUUUAGCUGUCUCGAGACAUAGGCGAUGACCUUACCUCGCUGCAUCAGAACACAUCCGAGCCCUUGAUUCGAUACAUCACAAUAGACGACGAAGUCUUCUAUUCCUUCGGGAAGGGAUAGUAUUGGCGCGGUGCACAAGGCUCGUUUGAGCAUUUGGAAUGCUCUUUCUUGUUUCUCUUCCCAGUCAAAGGCCACACCCUUCUGGGUCAGUGUUGUAAGAGGUUUCGCUAUGUGGGAGAAGUUCUGAAUGAACCUGCGAUAAUAGCCAGCGAGGCCUAGAAGUUGACGAAUUUCUGUAGGCGUCUUCGGUGCUGACCAGUUCUCAAUGGCCUUGAUUUUGGAAGGGUCUGCGUGUAUACCCUCUUUGCUAACCACGUGCCCUAAGAAUUCGACUCGUCGAAUCCAAAAUUCACAUUUCGAGAACUUCGCGUAGAGCUUCUCAAAACAUAAUGUUUCGAGAACUUGACGCAGAUGUUGGCUAUGCUCCUCCUUACAUCGAGAGUAGAUAAGUAUGUCAUCGAUGAAGACGAUGAUGAACUGAUCCAAGUAAGGACGACACACCCUAUUCAUUAAGUCCAUGAAUACUACGGGCGCGUUUGUCAAUCCGAACGGCAUCACUACGAAUUCGUAGUGCCCAUAACGAGUUCGGAAUGUUGUCUUUGGAACAUCCUCCCCUAGCGCUCGUAGUUGGUGAUAUCUAGAUCUCAAGUCGAUUUUUGAAAAGAAGUUCGCCCCUUGGAGUUGGUCAAAUAAAUCGUCAAUACGAGGUAACGGAUAACGAUUUCUGACCGUCAGCUUGUUGAGCUAACUAUAGUUGAUGCACAUACGAAACGAUCCGUCUUUCUUGUUGACGAAAAAGACUGGAGCUCCCCAGGGUGAGAAGCUUGGUCUUAUAAAGCCCUUUCUGAACAGUUCGUUAAGUUGACCGGACAGUUCUUGCAUCUCUGCAGGUGCUAGAUGAUAGGGGGAUUUGGCUACUGGGGUAGCCCCUGGAACUAAGUCGAUUCGGAACUCGACUUGACGUUGCGGAGGUAAUCCUGGGAGUUAUUUUGGAAACAUGUCAGGAAACUCGCGUACUACUGGAAUGUUCUGAAUGUCCUUCGCUUCAUGGCUCACAUCGACCACAUGAGCAAGGAAUGCAUGACAUUCCUUUCGCAAGAAUUUCUGAGCUUGGAUGCUCGAGAUGAUACGAAGGUUCGUGCCGGGUUUGUUGCCAUAAACUACUAGGUUUUUUCCAAAUACCAGAUUAAGGCGAAUAGCCUUUGCGUAACACAUGAUAUCGGCACGAUGAAGACUCAACCAAUCCAUGCUGAUAAUGACAUCGAAACUUUUAAUUAAGACCGGCAUCAGAUCGAUGGAAAAUGAAUGGUUAUCUAAUGUUAGGGUACACCCUAUGAAGAUACUGCUAGUGCUCUCGGUCUUUGCAUUAUCCAUUUCUACAGUGAACGGUUCAUUAAGUGCUCAUGAUUUUUGCUUAAGUAAAUGAGCAAAUUUUUGGUUCACGAAACUGUUGGAUUAAUGUCUAAGUCCAUAACUAUAUUUGGUAAGACUUGACCCGACCCGGCAUGGUUCAUUUGGGUUGCAUACCAUCAUGCACUUGAAUGAGAGAAAUAAGACACUUAUGGUUAUUAAUAUAUUAUAAGUUCUAGUAUAUUAAUAAUAAGAAUAAUAAGAUUAUUUAAUUAGUAUUGAUCAAGAAUUAAUCUAGGAUUAAUUAAGUGAUCAAAAGAAGACUAAUUAAAUAUAUGAGUUGAUUGUGUAAAUCAUCCAUACUUGUAUAGUGGGCUAAUGGAUAAUCAAGUUGGGCUAAAACCCAUAGGAUGGUCCAUGGAUGCUCCAUGGUGUAUUUGUACCCAUGGAUCCAAGGAAAUGGAAAGCCAUGACAAUUAAGAGUUUACCCUAAUUGUGUAACUAUAUAAGCAUCUUAUUAUUGAGGAAAAAUCGGCCACUAGUGUGUGUGAAGAAAGGGCUAGCCGAUUUUGGUGAGUGUAGAAUUCUCUCAAGUCAUUCUAAGUGUUUUGAUGAUUGUGAUUCCAUUUGAGGUGUCACACUUGGGGCACUAAGCACUCAAGCUUCAUGAAGACUUUCUACAUCAAGAGGUAUGUAUUCUAUCUUGUUACAUUAUUGUUUUGUAUGCUAGAUUAGGAUAAUACCUUGGAAGUUCUUAUUUGCAUGUAUAAUAGAGAAAACAUAGAUCCAAGGUAUUUAGGGUUGCAUGUACACUUAGGAAGUGUUAGAAUGCUCAAAACCCAACAGUGGUAUCAGAGCCACGGGUUGUUUUCUGUUAUAUUGAUGCAAAUAUUUUAUUUUCAAAGUUGAAAAAAAAAAAAAAAAAAAACAUGAAGUUUGUCAAAUUUUAAGAUAAUUACUUGUUCUUGUGAAAAACUAAUUAUUUGUAAAAUUUGAAUAAUUUGCUUUAUGAGUUGAAUUAGGUCAAAUUUAAUAAAAGAUAAAAUAAUAUGAUUAUUUUAUUAGUUUUAAAAGUUUGAUCUAAAGAGUUUUAUUUUUUGAAACCUCCAUAAGUUAUGGAUAUGAAAAGGUUUUAAAAAAAAAAUUAAUUCAAAGUUUUUUUGGAGUUACAAAAUUUGGUGUUAAUGUUUUAAAGGAUUCCAUAACUUAAGAAUAAGUUAUGGAUCACCAAAAGUUUUUUGUGUUACCUUGUUUUAUGAGUGAAUUUAGAUUAAUGAAUAAAAUUAUGUGAUAGUUGGUUUUAAUCCAAAUUAAUCUAAGAAUUGAUUCUAAAAUGUGUUUUUGUAACUUGUCCUCAAGUUAUAUGAAAAGUCACAUUUAAGAAUCAUAAAACUCAUAAAAAUUGGCAAAGGUUACAAAAAUGAAGAGUCUAGUUCUAAUUAAAUGGUUUUAUGACUCCAUAACUUGUCCUCAAGUUAUGGAGGACCAAGAGUCUCUUCAUUUAAUAAAAUAAAAUAAAAUAAAAAAAAGGGUAACCUUAAUUAAUUCCAUAAGUUAUAAAAUAAAGAAAAGUUAAUUCUUUUAUUAGUUUAAAGUCUUCCAUAACUUGUCCUCAAGUUAUGGAACUUGAAGAGUUUUUGGAUUAAAACUACUUUAAACACAUAAGUUAUGGAAUUAAUUAGUUUUGAAUAGUUUCAAAACUUGCCCUCAAGUUUUGGAAUUUGUAAAGUUUUCACUUAUGAAUACUUUAAUUCCAAGUUAGCCCUUAGAAUUUUAAAAGUUAAAAUUCAACCCUUAUACUUUAUAAUAUUAUAAGUUAAUAAUAUAUAUAUGUAUAAGAGUAAAGUCAGUCUUACCGCUAGUACGCCUCAUUCACGAAGCCGGUCUAUAAGGUGGGUAUAAGGUUGUUGCCUAUAAAAUGGCAACUUAAUGGGUGUCCACUCUCACCCACCGCUUGCUUGACUGGUGGAGGGUCGUUAGCCGAACGGGUUUGACAGGACUAGAAUUCUCCCUUCAUUAAAAGUAUUAAUGAUAAUACUAAGUAACUAAACUCUUAAUAAUACCCAAUCUUAGUUACUUAGGAAAAAUGUGAAUAAGGUGCUAAUCCAUGAAAUUACACUUUACACUUUGUCUAAGUCGUUAGUGGAGCGUGUGUGGUUAACCGGCACACUAACUUGGACUUAACAAGGUAGGUAAAGGGUGACUUAAUAUUUAUCAUAGUAUCGAUGGAGCGUGUGUGGUUAACCGGCACAUCGAUUGAGGGGUAAUUUAUUAAGGGUACCAAGUGAUUUGCAUGGUUACUUCACACCUUGUUUUGUGAUCCUCGGCAUCCCAGUCACAAAACCUGAAGGGCACACUCGAGAUUGAAACAUGCCUUUGAAAAGUUCAAUGAAUCUCAAAGAUCUAGGAGUUUCAAAACCAAUUAAAACCUAAUAAUACAUUUCGUUUAUCUUGGUGGAAAUUGGUGAAUCGUCAUUCACCUACCUUCAAAUAUUUUAUAGCUUGGAUUACGGCAUACCUCUUCUAAGUUAUAAAAUAGUUUGUUGGGUCCUAGCCUUAAUAUUUCAUAUUGGGUGUCAUAUUAAGGACUUUAAAUCAACUAUCUUGAAUAUCUCCCAAAAGAUGUCUGGUUUAGACACCUAUGAUCUUCCCAAAUCUCUUGAAACAAGGUUUCCUAAUGAAGAUGAUGUCCCAUGGAUAUCAUACUUCUUCACCUCUUCAAAUUAUUCUCCCUAACCCACAAGUUCUUGAAAAGUUUAAGGUCACUCAGGCCCUAUUGGCAAGGCAAGGUCUAGGUGUGGUCACAUCUUGGAGAUGUAGUCACAUAUUGACAAGCCGGGAGAGUUGGGUGUCAAAGUCUUGAGAAAGUUGGUGGUUCAACCACUUUCUAAGUCACAUAGUGAGUUCCUUUGGGACACCUAUGAAACAGACUAUGACAAGACCCUUAAUGAUCUUAUCUAUUUGCUAAGAUCAACUUCCUAAAACUUUAUGGACAUUGACAAUGAUGACAUUGGAUAUCCAGUAAAGCAUUCUCUUCCCAAUGGAAAGGGAUCGGCUAUAGUCAACUCGGUUGACCAAAUGGUAAAGAGAAAAGCUAAGUCUGUGAUAGUCCUGUGUACCAUUAUCAAAGGGUCCAUAUGUUUGUAUUGCCAAAGAAAGGGCAUUGGUUGCGAAGCUGCCAAAUUUACCUAAGGAUGUUAAAGUCAAUAAGUUUGACUCUACUUCAGGUAAAAUCCACUAUCUAACUCUGUUAAGUUUCUAUUCUGAGAUUCUUGAUACAUGAUGUGACCGGGUCGCAUGGUGAUGGUUUAAGAAUCAAAGGAAAGUGAAGAAACUUAAAGGAAGAAUAUGCUGAAUCUGAUCGCAUAGAUGGAUUUCUAUCGCAUAGUUUGAAAAAUCGGAUUCUUGAGCUACUUCUUAGGAGUUAUGAGAUAUUGCUUAGGAAUAGAUAACAACAAGUUUUCAUAUGGAUUGUAAGGAUAGUUUUUCCGCAAAGUUUUAAAAUAAAAGGAAAUUUUUGAUUUUAUUUAUUUUAAAAUAUCCUUACAAUGGCAUCUGUGGAAAUUUUUGUUGCUUAUAAGAUUCCAUUAGUAGCAAGAGUGGAAGUAUGAAAUUGAUUCUUUCAUUUGUGGUAAUGUCUAAAUUUACCAAAUAAGGAAAGAUUCUCAUCACCCAAGUUUCAAUUGGACCGGAACUUGGAAUCAUGCAAGUUGUAUAGCAUGAUGAAUGAGAACUUUCAAGUUUUGGAAAAUUAAGACUAAUUACUUGUUCACAUGGAUGUGUGAGUCAAGUAAAGGACUUAGGGAUCGAGUACACAUUCUUGUGCACUGAUUAAGUCCACCACUAAAGAUCGAUAAGAAGAAUCAAAUAAGGCAGAAGGAUAAAAGUUUCUCAAAUCUGAAAAGAUGGGAGAGUACUUUAGUAUCAGUUUUGUGAUCAUCUUAAUGAUUAAGAAACCAUAUCAAAAUUAGUUCUCUAAGGAAAUCUUAGUGCAUUCUUAUGACUAAGAAGAGGAACUUGAAUUGUUGAAAUGGUUAAAUCAAGAAGAUGAGUCAUACUUCGUUCCAAUACAAGUCUUAGAGUCAUACUCCAAGAUUGUCAUUUGAGUGACAUGUCUUAAAGAAGGUUUAAAACACUUGUCAAAUGUAAGAGUAAAAGUUUUCUACUCUUGUACAUUUGAAAUUGGUAAGUUGUGAUGUUUUGGAUAAAACAAAGACCAACUUAGGCCAAUUGGGUAAAGUGUUUUUCUUGAUUAGAAUCCGCACUAUCUCUUGGAUGUUUGACAAGGGAGUCUUAUAUGUCAAGAGGACAGUGGGAGUCUUAAAGGUCUUGAAAGUCUCAAGAAAUAAUCAAGAAUAAAACCUAAAGUUCUUCACUAGCACACGACUUGAGGUUCAUAACCUAUCGUGUUGACAUAUUCUGUGCCCAUUCCAGUUAAAGUUGGUUUUGCAUAUGAGUUCUUAGAGUUCUCAAUUUGUUGCACAACAACUUGGAAGCAAUGGCAGGCCCUUGAGCUGCCAGGUGGCAAGAAGUUAAGAUUGAGUUCAAUCCAUAUGGUUUUGGAUUUGUCAUUAUCUUUGUCUUGUGAUUAUGGUUUGACAAAUUCAUAUGGGUAGGAACUCAUACACCAUAUAAAUCUAAGUGUCAUAAGGUUUCUCUCCGAUUCAUGAAAAUGAUGGUGAGGAAACGCUUUCACUAAGUAGAUUUUACGAAGAUAUCAAUUGUGUUAUUUGCAUUUUCAAAAGUCGUUAGUGGAGCGCGUGUGGUUAACCGGCACACUAACAUGGACUUGUGAGAAAUGGCAAAUGCCUAAGCAAUUGAGACCAUGAUUACGGUAUCCCUUUUCAUGGUUCUUGAAAUUGCUUAGACACACAGGUGAGCUAUCUACGGAAAGGGUGUAUGAAUCUAAAUUUCAGACUGUCCAGCUGAUUUCUGAGUACAUGUCAAAGCUAGUGGGAGCAUAAGUGUUAUGCUAAUAAUCAUCAUGUUAGUGGGAGCAUGAUAAUUAUGAUAAGUAUUGCAAGUUAGCAAUGUUAAUUAUAGAAAACAAAAGUUUCAAUUGGGAAAAAGUUGUUUUGCUAUAAUUAAGGGAGAGGAAAUUAUGCUUCAUCUCAAAUCUAUAAGCUUAGAUCGUGAGGUUUUAAUCAUUUAGUCAAGGAUAUAUAUGAAUUUCAUGUUGGAAUGGCUCAACAUAAGGAAAUUCUGUAUAUGGGUCCAUUAUUUGCGUUCUAAAAUUCGAUUAUGAUUACGGCAUCCCUUUUCAUAAUCUGAAUUAUGAGAACUUGGCAAAUUGAAAUGGAAAUAUUAUAGCAAAAGACUGGUUUAGUCUUUAUGUAAGACAUCAUGAAUCGUGUCCCAUAUGCUUCGGAUAUAGGAUCGAUUACAUGUGCUAUAUUCAUCCGUUCUAAAAUUUUCCAAAUGCCUGGGGCAUUAAGAAGGGAAAAGGUUUAGAACUGGAUAUGACUAAAAGGAUUAAACAAUUGUCGAGGACAAUCUAAGGUUUACCAAAGAUUGGUUACUCAAGGACAAUUGGAAGUAUAGUGAUAAUUCUGGAAGGACCAUAUUGACAUAAUCUGUAAGGAGGCAACUCUUGUUCAGAAGUGAUAGUCAAAAUGGAAUCUGGAAAUGUUUCAAAGUUAGAAUUUUCAAUCUGUGUAAGAUUAAGGAAACUUAAUGCAAGAAGGAUAUUUCCAAGGAGUUGAUCUCCUUUGGAAUACUCUGUAAUGAUUGUUGCCAAGUCUUUGUGACUUUGUGCAUAAUCAUUACAAGAGGAUCAAUGCAUAUAAGUUUAGAAUCUAACAGAUUUCAGUAAAUGGCAUGAAUUUGGAAUUCUUGCAUUUGCAGUAAGGAUUUGGGAGUGUGAAAAGAGAAUCAUUGAAGUUAUGUUCAAUUGAUCUAGUUCACAAAGUAAAGAUCAUAGACAAACAUAGUAUGCAUACUUGGUGUGUGGCAUGACUAGUGUUUAAGAAAACAUAGUGUACAUGCUUGGAGCAUGGGACAACUAUUGUUUUAAAUUCAAGAAUAAAGUUGAUAGCUGAAACAGUAUACAAUGAAUAAUGUGUAAUCAUAUGGUGAUAAAUAAAAGGUGUUUUAUUUAUGUUCAAAGGGUUGAUACCAUAUUGGAUUCAAUUAUUAUUGUGUUUCAUUUUGCAUGUUUUGACUUCCCGAAUAAACUGGGUUAUUCUUCCGGAAUGACUAAGUUAUUCAAACCAUCCACAGUCGGUCAUAUGUUGGAAGUAGAUAUGAAUUAAGACUGUCAUGGGUUGGCUUGUAGAGGUCUAAGGUGUUGGACAAAGGGCUACAACACUCAUGAGUGCUCAUAAGUUCUGAGUAUUGGAUUCAACCCGCGCUCAUUGGAAUCACUUCAUGGAUUUUAUCACGAGUGAUCAUGAGACGAUAAUAUCUUAUAUUCUUCAAACCUAGAGAUAUGAGUUGUUACUAUGAGUUGAUAGUACAUUGAUUGCACGAAAACGCAUUUGGUAACUCGGUGCUAUAAAACGUGCCUUUGUGUAUGAUUCAACAAGUAGUAGAACAAGCCAUAUGAGUCGAAGUUUAUCCAUUCCUUUUACCUUCGGGAUAAAAGCGAUAUCUGUGGGCCCCUCGAUGAUUUGAUGAUGACAAAUGGAAGUGCUCGGCCGGGCCAGGACUGAUUUGAUUUGUUCAAUUAGUCAGUCGUCAUAAAUCGGAAAUCGGGAAACAACAAAUGGACAGAGAGAAUGAUUAUAAUCCAUGUCUCAGUCCAUAUGAUAUCUAGAAUGGAGGAAUAUAUGAUCCCUUAUCUAAUGGACAAGUCAUUGACAAAGGUCAGAGUUCAUCUACAAGGUCAGAGUUCGACAGAAGCUUUUGAGAGCUACGAUUGCCAGUUGGUUCCUGAAGUCAUACGCAAUAAUAGUUUUAGACUUAUCCAAGUGGGAGACUGUUGGAUUAAUGUCUAAGUCCAUAACUAUAAUUGGUAAGACUUGACCCGACCCGGCAUGGUCCAUUUGGGUUGCAUACCAUCAUGCACUUGGAUAGACUAUAAUGAGAGAAAUAAGACACUUAUGGUUAUUAAUAUAUUAUAAGUUCUAGUAUAUUAAUAAUAAGAAUAAUAAGAUUAUUUAAUUAGUAUUGAUCAAGAAUUAAUCUAGGAUUAAUUAAGUGAUCAAAAGAAGACUAAUUAAAUAUAUGGGUUGAUUGUGUAAAUCAUCCAUACUUGUAUAGUGGGCUAAUGCUCCAUGGAUAAUCAAGUUGGGCUAAAACCCAUAGGAUGGUCCAUGGAUGCUCCAUGGUGUAUUUGUACCCAUGGAUCCAAGGAAAUGGAAAGCCAUGACAAUUAAGAGUUUACCCUAAUUGUGUAACUAUAUAAGCAUCUUAUUAUUGAGGAAAAAUCGGCCACUAGUGAUAGUGAAGAAAGGGCUAGCCGAUUUUGAAGAGUGUAGAAUUCUCUCAAGUCAUUCCAAGUGUUUUGAUGAUUGUGAUUCCAUUUGAGGUGUCACACUUGGGGCACUAAGCACUCAAGCUUCAUGAAGACUUUCUACAUCAAGAGGUAUGUAUUCUAUCUUGUUACAUUAUUGUUUUGUAUGCUAGAUUAGGAUAAUACCUUGGAUGUUCUUAUUUGCAUGUAUAAUAGAGAAAACAUAGAUCCAAGGUAUUUAGGGUUGCAUGUACACUUAGGAAGUGUUAGAAUGCUCAAAACCCAACAGUGGUAUCAGAGCCACGGGUUGUUUUCUGUUAUAUUGANCCACUAUCAAAUAGAAUGCAUGCAGAAGAGUUAUCGAGGAGGAACAUACCAGUGACCACUGUGGGGUCGAAAACUGCUUCCUUAUGGCCUAUGGCCAGAACUCUUGCCGCUCCACCGGCAAACCCUGCCUUCGGGCAGUUUCUCUUGAAGUGGCCUACCUCGCCACAUUCGUAGCAUGUUUGUCCCACUCCAGCAUCGGGGGCUUGGUUGAUUGGCUUCGCCAGAGCUUUACAGAAACGGGUUGUGUGCCCCUUACCGUUACAGUUCAGACACUGCAUCUCCCAGCAUGCGCCGACGUGAUGGAAGUUGCACUUUUUGCACUUAGGCAAACUUCCAGCAUACUGCUUCACCGGAGCAGUAGUGGCAGAUGCUAUCGCAGCAUGUACUGCCACGACCUGCUGCUUUUUGGCACCCUUAGCCUUCUUCUUGUCAUCCCAAAACUUUCGCUUGGAGUCAGCGGUUUUUGUAGGUUCUGAGAUGGCCAGGGUAGUUGUUGUGGUCGGGGUACGAACCCUGUGAUCUAUGAGCCGCUGUGCCAAUCGCUUGGCACUAUCAAAUGUAGUGGUGUGUGAUGCUAAAACAUUUCCCUGGUAUGGGGGUACCAGUCCCCAUAGGUAUCUCUCGAUCUUCUUUCCCUCUGAAGGAAUCAUGUUGGACAGAGGGCCACCAGUUCACAAAACCUGGCGGUGUAGGCGACUACGUUGGAGCCCUUCAUGGUUAGGCUACAUAGCUCUUCCUCCAACUUUUGGAUCUCGCCCUUUGGGUAGUACUCCUCAAUCAUGAGGUCUUUCAAAUUUUCCCAGUGUCACACCCCAAAACUACGAACGGCGGAAACGUUCAGGCAUGGAGGACGUCAUAUAUAGUAUCACAACAGUGUAAUAUAAUAAACAAGCAACAACAUCAUCCAUUUCAUUAUAAGUAAAGUUUUAAUACAUGUGUUAUCUUUCAUUGUAAUAAGACACCAAAAAUAUACAAUCAAAAUAAAAGACGAGACUUGUCUGCUCCGUUUUCUCAAAACCUGGCCAUCGUACCUGUCUACUGUUGACCUGAGAAUACAAGUUAUUUUGAAAGAGAGUAUCAUCUUUAAAGCUGGUGAAUUCAUAAGUAAUUAAGUGUCAUCUUUAAAAUCUGUUAUGAAGGCCAUGUAAACCUUUAAAUGAAAAUGUUGAUGUAAGUAUGAAAACCCUAGAAAAUCCCUUACUUUCUAUCAGUUUAACAUGUAGUCUUCUACCAAGACCUGAAUGUUUUGUAAGUAAAUGAUAGUUUUUCCUUUAAUUGUUUAGUACUAAAGUACUUAGUCUAACUCAUCGUUUCUGUGAAAGUAUCACAAAAUAAAGUAAACAGGAAAAUGUACUACUGUAAGUGUUGUCACUGGGUACUAGGACUAACACAACAUAAAAUUAAGCGAAAUAUGUAACCUAAUGAACACCCAAAGAUUGUCCAGAAAAAGUAAUAAUGUAAGUGUCAUUGUUGGGUACUAGGAGUAACACAACAUCACAAUAAGCGAAAAGUAUAACCAUAUGAACAAUCGAAGAUUGUCCACUUGUCCUCUGUAGCAGCAGUAGGUGGGUAGAGGGGUUAGCCCCGGUUAUCGAUCUACCUAGUAUAAGUAGUAACCUUAGACCUCCGUAGAUGGUCAUCGACCACUGGUGCUAAUCAGUGGGAUUCGGAAUGGUAAGUCCCGCCGAGAUAUCCCAUUGAACCGGGAUAGGAAAGAUAAUUUACACAGAAAGUACUAAUAAAUCAUCCUCGUAGUUCUAAGUACAAGUAUCCAGGUAAGUGAAUACAGGAUAAUGCACCUAUGUAAAAGUGUUCCUGUAUGGUAUUCAUGUAAGUGUGUUCAUGUAACAGGUAAGUAUAUGUAAACAUAUUCAUGUAUCAGGUAAGCAUCUGUAUGUACUCAUGUAUCAGGUAAUGUACUAGUAUAGACUCAUGAAUGAACUGACUCUUGUGUGAUUCCUUGUAAUAGGAAUAAUGUUUGAUAUCUUCAAAUUAUCCCUAUGAUAAUUUACUGAAUGGUAAUUAGUUGUUCAAGUAGGUUUAUACACUCUUACUACUCAAGGGUGUGAGAAACUAAAUGAAAGAUGCAAACUAUAACAUCAAUACAUAUAUAAGAAAAUAAGUGUAUAUGCAUAGUUUAGUUCAAGAAUGUAAAAUGGUUUUGUGAGACAUCUUAUGGGUUUUGAACAAUAAUUAACAAUGACUUGAUGUCAUUUUAAUAAGCAUUUCAAAAGUAAAACAUUUGAUAACAAAGUAUUUUUAAGAUUUAAAACCAUUUCAUGCAUCACAUUUUGUAGUAUGUGAAAUCUGUUAAAUGACAAACACAGUUAUAAAAUACAUAUCAAUGAUUUAAUAACAUGUUUGUUUCUACUUGUAUUCCCCCCCUUUAAAGCAUUUAAAAUCAUUUAAAACAUUGAUUAGGGGUAUGAACUCACCUGUAGUUGGUGAUUGGGAUGAACUGAACGGUAUAGGAUUGCUAGGUGUCAAGCGAGGACUUGUACACACACUACGAUCCUAAUGAACAUAUAAUCACACAUAUAUGCACUCAAUUAGUCUCAAAUUACUAAUUGAUAAUGUUAAGACAUCCUAGACAUAAUAAACACUUUAUAUAAGUGUUUUAAGCCCUAAGGAUUGCAUCUAAGCUAUUGUGGGACAAGGCACUUGUGUUUAGGGUUCCAAAGGACCCCAUAUAUGAGUUUACUCCCCAUAUACCAUCACACAUGGAGUUUACGGUUGUAAACUCUUGAGUUUACGGCCGUAAACUCCCAACCAUGGGUGUAUUGUGUGUUUUGAAGUUCCAAAUGAUUCCUAGAAUUAUUCCAACUUGGUGGUUAAAUUCUUGGAAGGGUUUAAGGCCUAGAAACACUCCUUAGAGGAGUUUACGGCCCCAAGGCCAUUUCCUUUGGAGUUUACGGCCGUAAACUCCCUUGGAAUGGUGUUUUUGUUGUUUUCAAGUCUCUUGCAUAUGAAGGAUAGGUUCUAGACUUUUACCUAAAGCAUAUGAAGGCAUUAGGCACACUUUGGUGCCCCUUUAAUGAGUUUACGGCCCAUGAACCAUGUCAUGGCCGUAAACUCACUUUGCAAGGUGAUUCUUAUGUGUUUAAGGCCCUUGAUUUGUUGGGAACAAGUCUUGGUAAAAGUCCAAGGCUUUAGGUGCCUUAAAAGCACCAUUUGGAGCUUGAAUUUGGAGUUUACGGCUUAAGAAACUCUUGGGCCGUGAACUCCCAAACUUGGGUGGUUCUUGCUUGACUUCAUGUCCCUAACACACUCCUAUACAAGUCCAAGGUAGUUGUAUAUCAUGGGGGACAGUCUAGGCUUCGUUUCGGGAGUUUACCGCCCAAGAACACCUUGGGGAGUAAACUCCUAAAUCUAGUGAUUUAGCCUUCUAAAUCAUGUUAUAACUACAUAUAAAGCUUUCUAACACUACUAGAAAGAGUUACUCACGUUUUGGUAUAAAAACCCAAAGAUCCGUAAGAGAGAAAAUGGCUUUUCUCUAGUUGGAAAUGCGAAUAAUGAACGAAUUUGGUUCAUAAUUCUAUUUAUAGUCCUGAGAUAUUUUUGGCAGAAAAUAUUUUUAUUCCCAAAAUGAUCUCUGAUAUAAUAGAGUGUUGGAAUAACAGUGUUGCACAAAACCCUAGUGCACCCACUCUCCUGAUAUUUCCUGAAGUGUAAUCCCUGAAUUACUCAAACUUAUACUAAAAGUCUGAAAAUUAACUGUGACUGCUAUAACUUCUAUUGAAGUGAUAUAGUUUGUACAGAAUAGAAAUUUCGGGUUGUCACAUCAUCCCCCCGUUAGAAGGAAUUUCGUCCCAAAAUUAAAAUUUAAGCAAUUAGGAAGUUACAAAUAACUAAGCGAAAAGGUGAGGGUAUUUCAGUUUCGUCUGAUCUUCACGUUCCUAAGUGAAUUCUGGUCCACGCUUUGCGUUCCAGCGCACGUUCACUAUCAGGAUACGGCUCUGCUUUGUUUGCUUGACCUCGCGGUCCAUGAUCUCUACUGGUUCCUCCACGAAGUUGAGGCUCUCGUUGAUCUCGAUCUCGUCGAGUCGAAUAACAUGAGUCUCGUCGGACAGACACUUUUUCAAGUUCGAGACGUGGAAGGUAGGAUGUACGUUACUGAGUUCGUGCGGUAGAUUGAGUUUGUAAGCUACAUGGCCGAUUCUCGCGAGAAUCUCGAAAUGGCCUAUGUAUCUUGGGUUGAGCUUCCCACGCUUCCCAAAGCGUAUCAAGCCCUUCAAUAGGACUCGGUCGCCCACCUGGAACUCCAAUGCUUUCCUAUGCUUGUCAGCGUAGCUUUUUUGUCGGUCUCUAGAGGCUUUCAAUCGUUCACGAAUUUGAACGAUCUUCUCUGUUGUUUCCCGAAUGAUCUCCAGACCCGUGAGAGUGCUUUCGGGAACUCAUCCCUUAGCUAACUGGGUAUCACCCACUUCAGCCCAGCACAAAGGGGAUCUGCACUUUUGGCCAUAGAGGGCCUCGAAUGGAGCUGCCUUUAUGCUCGUAUGAUAACUGUUGUUGUAGGAAAAUUCAACAAGGGGUAAAUGCGUAUCCCAAGCUUUCCCAAAGUCAAUCACGCAAGCACGCAACAUGUCUUCCAAGGUUUGGAUAGUGUUCUCACUUUGUCUGUCGGUCUGUGGAUGGUAGGCUGUACUCAUGUCCAGCUUAGUUCCUAGGGAACUUUGUGAUGACUGCCAGAACCUUGAAGUGAAUCUACUAUCUCGGUCAGAGAUGAUUGAUAAAGGAACACUGUGCAGCCUUACAAUCUCCCUAAUGUAAGUUCUGGUAAGUUUCUCCAUCUUGUCUGUUUCUUUGAUCAGUAGGAAGUGUGCAGACUUGGUCAGUCUAUCGACGAUGACCCAUAUGCAAUCAAGUCCACCCGUCGUCUUGGGCAACUUGGUUAUGAAGUCCAUAGUGAUCGCUCCCACUUCCAUUCUGGUAUCUCCGGUUGCAGCAGGAGGCCGGAGGGUUUCUAGUAUUCGCCCUUGACCUUUGCGCAAGUAAGGCAUUUACUCACGAAGGUAGCAAUAUCUGCUUUCAUGUUAGGCCACCAGUAUAGCUUUUUAAGAUCCAGAUACAUCUUAUCUGAACCCGGGUGGACGGAAUAACGAGUGUUGUGAGCUUCCGUCAUGACCAAGUCUCUGAAGCCACCGUGUUUCGGUGUCCAGAUCCGAUCCAUGAGGUAUAAGGCUCCGCCACCCUUGACUUCCAAGUUCUUAUCCAUCCCUCUAAGGGAUUCACCAGCCACGUUUUCAGGUUUCAAAGCGUCGAGCUGAGCCUCCUUUAUUUGUGUGGACAAGUGUGAAUGGAUGGUUAGAGUCAAAGAUUUGACUCUACGACCAGUAUAUUCUUUCCGACUUAGGGCGUCGGCUACUACAUUGGCUUUACCCGGAUGAUAACGAAUUUCGCAUUCGUAAUCACUAAGUAGCUCGACCCACCGUCGUUGUCUCAUGUUGAGCUCUUUCUGGUCGAAAAUGUGUUGUAGACUCUUAUGGUCUGUAAAGAUCGUGCUUUUUGUACCGUAUAGGUAAUGUCGCCAGAUCUUCAGAGCAAACACAACUGCUCCUAGUUCAAGAUCGUGGGUUGUGUAGUUAACCUCAUGUGUCUUCAGCUGUCUCGAGGCAUAGGCUAUGACUUUACCUCGCUGCAUCAGAACACAUCCGAGUCCUUGAUUGGAUGCAUCGCAAUAGACAAUGAAGUCUUCUAUUCCUUCGGGAAGGGAUAGUAUCGGGGCGGUGCACAAGGCUCGUUUGAGCGUUUGGAACGCUCUUUCCUGUUUCUCUUCCCAGUCGAAGGCCACGCCUUUCUGGGUCAGGGUUGUAAGAGGUUUCGCUAUGCUGGAGAAGUUCUGAAUGAACCUGCGAUAGUAGCCAGCUAGACCUAGAAAUUGACGAAUUUCAGUAGGUGUCUUUGGUGCUGACCAGUUCUCGAUGGCCUUAAUUUUGGAAGGGUCCACGUGUAUACCUUCUUCGCUAACCACAUGGCCCAAAAAUUCGACUCGCCGAAUCCAAAAUUCGCACUUGGAGAACUUCGCGUAGAGCUUCUCCGAUCGCAAUGUUUCUAAGAUUUUACGGAGAUGUUGACUAUGCUCCUCCUUACUUCGAGAGUAGAUGAGUAUGUCAUCAAUGAAGACGAUGACGAACUGAUCCAAGUAAGGAUGACACACCCUAUUCAUCAGAUCCAUGAAUACUGCGGGCGCGUUAGUUAAUCCGAAUGGCAUCACUACAAACUCGUAGUGCCCAUAACGAGUUCGGAAGGCUGUCUUGGGAACAUCCUCCUCUAACACUCGUAGUUGGUGAUAUCCGGAUCGCAGAUCUAUCUUCGAGAAGUAGUUGGCUCCUUGAAGUUGAUCAAAUAAAUCGUCAAUGCGAGGCAAGGGAUAACGAUUUUUAAUGGUAAGUUUGUUGAGUUCUCUAUAGUCGAUGCACAUGCGAAACGAUCCAUCCUUCUUCUUGACGAACAAGAUCGGUGCUCCCCAUGGUGAGAAGCUUGGUCGAAUGAAUCCCUUCUUGAGAAGUUCGUUAAGUUGACUGGAAAGUUCCUGCAUUUCGGCCGGUGCCAGACGAUAAGGAGAUUUGGCUACGGGGGUAGCCCCUGGCACUAAGUCGAUUCUGAACUCGACUUGGUGUUGCGGUGGUAAACCGGGAAGUUCUUCUGGGAAUAUAUCAGGGAAGUCGCACACUUCGUGGAUGUUCUGAAUGUUUUUCGUUUCUUGACUUGUAUCAACGACGUGUGUGAGGAAUGCAUGGUACUCCUUUCGCAAACACUUCUGAGCUUGAAUGCACGAAAUGACGCGAAGGCUCGUACUAGGUUUGUCACCGUAGAUAAUUAAGGUUUCGUUGUUAGGAAGGUUAAGACGAACUGCUUUUUCAAAGCACAUGAUUUCGGCGCGAAGAAGACUCAACCAAUCCAUACCGAUGAUAACGUCGAAACAUUUAAUAGGAACUGGCAUCAGAUCUAUCUUGGAAGUAUGGCCAUCUAAAGUUAAGGUACAACCUACAUAUAUGCAGUUUGUACUCUCUGUUUUCCUGUUAGCCAUUUCUACCGUGAAUGAACUAUCUAAUGCACAUGGUUUUUGUUUAAGCAGGUGUGCAAAUUUGUGACUUACAAAACUUCUCUCUGCUCCACUGUCGAAAAGUAUGCAAGCAUAUGAGUUAUCGAGGAAAAACGUACCAGUAACUAUUGUAGGAUCAGCUAUUGCUUUCUCGUGGCCUAGGGCCAUAACUCUUCCUACUCCCCCAGCCAUCCCCGCUUUAGGGCAGUUCCUCUUGUAGUGGCCCACCUCGCCACAACCGUAGCAAGUUUAGCCCAUACAGGCGUUAGAAACUUGAGCGGCUUGAGCUGUUGGAGCCUGGCAGAAAUGGGUUGUGUGCCCCUUCCUGUUGCAGUUGGUGCAUUGCAUCUCUCUGCAAGGUCCGCGGCGGUGGAAGCUGCAUUUGUUGCACUUCGGGAGAGACCCAGCAUAAGUUUCUGCUGGUAAGGGGUUCGCAGGGACAACGGGAGUCACUGUGGCAUCAUUGAUUGCCAUAAGCUGUUGUCUCUUGGAGGAUCCUUGCGAAGCCCCCCUUUUCCUCUUAGACCACCCUUUCUUGUUGUUUUCAGGGUUGGACUUUUGGGGUACGGGUGUAGGGAUUGUUGGGUUCUGAGGUUUCCGGUGAUCGAUGAGAGAUUGUGCCAGUUCCUUGGCGCUAUCAAAGGUAAUAAGCCUGGAAGCUAUCACACUUGACUGGAUCUGGGGCGAUAGUCCCCAGAUAUAUCUCUCUAUCUUUUUUCUCUGGAGAGAAACCAUGUCAGGGCAUAAGUUUGCCAGAUCACAUAACCUAUUUGUGUAGGUCGUGAUGUCGGAUCCAAACAUUUGAAGACCCCAGAAUUCCUGCUCGAGUUUCUGUACUUCACCUCAAGGACAAUAUUCUUUCAUUAGCAUGUCUUUCAACUUUUCCCAACUGAUGGAAUACGCCACCACCAAAGUUAGAUAGUUAACAUGGAUGUUCCACCAUGUUAAUGCUCUGUCAGAGAAGGUACAAGCUGCAAACUUGACCUUGUUUCCUUCUUGGCAUCCGCAGAUCUCGAAGACAUAUUCCAUCUUCUCAAUCCACUGCCUCAACACCAUAACCCCACCAGUACCAUUAAAGUUGCGGGGUUUCGCAUUUGUGAAGUCCUUGUAGGUGCAUUCCUGAGAGUGUCCAUGGCUUUCGCCGUGGUUGGAGGGAGGUACACCUGAUCCCGAUCCACUAGGGAUAGGGGCAUUGAUUGCUGACACAGCAGCUACAACCGCCACUGUGAAGGCUGCCCGGAACAUGUUGGCAUCGAAAGGAUUAUAUGGUUGAAGAGGUUCAGGUGGGGGUGGAGGUGCGUUGUUGCUUGGGUUAGGUCUUGUACUUCUGUGUGGCGGCAUCUUUAACUAUAUGAUUAAAAGAUGAUGACAUGGAUAAGAAUAAAUGAACAAUGAAUGUGUUUCAUGGACUAACUCCCCAUAGCCCAACAACAGAAUGGAUAAUAUGACUAAAUGAAGAAGAUAGCAUUUGGAUAAUAAUUUCCAUAAGAUUAGAUAUCUGUCAAUAAUACUGGAAUUACAGAUGUAACAAGUUCGGGAAAAAUGGCCUAGAAGUAGGCCUUACAUCAACCAAGAUGGAAAAUUUUGACAGAAUUAAGACUAGAUCAAGACCUAACAGGUCUAAGAUUUAUAAAGACAGGAAAUUAGACCAAAGUUUUACAUAAACUAGGUUAUAUCCAAAAGAUGAGUUGACGAGAUUCUAUCGGCGACGAGAGUUGCUAGCAUGAGUCCUCGAUCCCGACAGUAGACGCUCAAUGUCUCUUAUAAUCCUGUCCGACCUUGCUUGCUAAGCUCGAAGUUCUCUAACUUCAGCUCGGGUUUCAGCAAGUUCCCUCUGNGUUUCGGCAAGUUCCUUCUGCAGAUUUGCAUUGCGGACCAGAGUCCUUUCAUGAGCAGACUCUAGUUGGUGAAUGUCGCCUGAGCCAUUAUCGUGUUCCGAGAAAUCCUACGCACCAUGACCGGUAGGAAUCUAUCAGCAGAACCUCCUUCGGUGAGGUUGUAGAAACUUUGGUCUCCAUUGUAGGGAAUGGGCUGACCUUGUUCCUGGCUCCAUGUAUUCAAGUUCAUGGCCCACAGGGGUGUGGGUCCUUGAAACACAUGGUGGGGGUUCAGGUUUGGGUUUUGAGCACCUGGGGGUAGGUUGUUGACUUCAGGCUCUGAGUCAGAACUAUCGGAAAAACCCUCAGCAUAGUGAUCAUCCAAAGGGAUUGGGUGAUCAUCUUCUGGUUCUGCCUCUAGCCAACCAGCAUUGCCUUGGUUUGGGAAGUACGGAUCGCCAUGGUGAAAUCCAGCCAUUUUAAUCUACGCGAGAAAAGGGAUAUAAGAAAUAGCUAAAAUAGACGAACUAACUAAGAUAAUUACAGUAAGACCAAAUACCCCUAUGGUAUUUCUUUAUGGUUGUGUUGGUAAGUUUUUAGACUUGUUGCCAUAUCACAACCAUUCUUGGGCAUAUGCUAAUCACUCCUCGGACCAGCAUAGUUGAUCAGGCUAUGCCAUUCCCAAGACUGACCAUAUAUCCCCAGGCUUACUUGUGAUAUUCAACAAUCGUAAUACUUUUGUUCUUGUCAUUGUGACACUGAUUUUAGUAUGAAUGCAGGCACGUAUACUUUGUUAAAUAUUUUAUUAUUUAAAAGUAUAACUCUUAGACAGAGUGUUUUAAUCCCGAUGUAUUUAUAGUUAGUAUAUCUUUUAUGGGUUGAUAUACUUUAUUCACUAUAAACAAUGCUCUGAUACCAAUCUGUCACACCCCAAAACCACGAACGGCGGAAACGUUCAGGGGUGGAGGACGUCAUGUACAGUAUCACAACAGUGUAAUAUAAUAAACAAGCAACAACAUCAUCCAUUGCAUUAUAAGUAAAGUUUUAAUACAUGUGUGUUCUUUCAUUGUAGUAAGACACCAAAAAUAUACAAUCAAAAUAAAAGACGAGACUUGUCUGCUCCGUCUUCUCAAAACCUGGCCAUCGUACCUGUCUACUGUUGACCUGAGAAUACAAGUUAUUUUGAAAGCGAGUAUCAGCUUUAAAGCUGGUGAAUUCAUAAGUAUAUAAGUGUCAUUGCCUUGUUUGUGAAAAUCUGUUAUGAAGGCCAUGUAAAACGUUAAAUGAAAAUGUUGAUGUACGUAUGAAAAACCCUAGAAAAUCCCUUAUUUUCUAUCAGUUUGAGAUGUAGUCUUCUACCAAGACCCGAAUGUUUUGUUAGUAAAAUGAUAGUUUUUCCUUUGUAUUGACUAGUACUAAAAGUGCUUAGUCUAACUCAUCGUUUAUGUGAAUGUAUCACAAAAUAAAGUAAACAGGAAAAUGUACUACUGUAAGUGUUGUCACUGGGUACUAGGACUAACACAACAUCGCAUUAAGCGAAAUAUGUAACCUAAUGAACAUCCGAAGAUUGUCCAGAAAAAGUAAUAAUGUAAGUGUCAUCGCUGGGUACUAGGAGUAACACAACAUCGCAAUAAGCGAAAAGUAUAACCUUAUGAACAAUCGAAGAUUGUCCACUUGUCCUCUGUAGCAGCAGCAGGUGGGUGGAGGGGUUAGCCCCGGUUAUCGAUCUUCCUAGUAUAAGUAGUAACCUUAGACCUCCGUAGAUGGUCAUCGACCACUGGUGCUAAUCAGUGGGGUUCGGAAUGGUAAGUCCCGCCGAGAUAUCCCAUUGAACCGGGAUAGGAAAGAUAAUUUACACAGAAAGUACUAAUAAAUCAUCCUCGUAGUUCUAAGUACAAGUAUCCAGGUAAGUGAAUACAGGAUAAUGCACCUAUGUAAAAGUGUUCCUGUAUGGUAUUCAUGUAUGUGUGUCCAUGUAACAGGUAAGUAUAUGUAAACAUAUUCAUGUAUCAGGUAAACAUCUGUAAGUACUCAUGUAUCAGGUAAUGUACUAGUAUAGACUCAUGAAUGAACUGACUCUUGUGUGAUUCCUUGUAAUAGGAGUAAUGUUUGAUAUCUUCAAAUUAUCCCUAUGAUAAUUUACUGUAAUAUAACUGGUUGAUCAUGUAGGUUUAUACACUCUUACUACUCAAGGGUGUGGGAAACUAAAUGAAAGAUGUAAACUAUAACAUCAAUACAUAUAUAAGAAUAUAAGUGUAUAUGCAUAGUUUAGUUCAAGAAUGUAAAAUGGUUUUGUAAGACAUCUUAUGGGUUUUGAACAAUAAUUAACAAUGACUUGAUGUCAUUUUAAUAAACAUUUCAAAAGUAAAACAUUUGGUAACAAUGUGUUUUUAAGAUGUAAAACCAUUUCAUGCAUCACAUUUUGUAGCAUGUGAAAUCUGUUAAAUGACAAACACAGUUAUAAAAUACAUAUCAAUGAUUUAAUAACAUGUUUGUUUCUACUUGUAUUCCCCCCAUUAAAGCAUUUAAAAUCAUUUAAAAUAUUGAUUAGGGGUAUGAACUCACCUGUAGUUGGUGAUUGGGAUGAACUGAACGGUAUAGGAUGGCUAGGUGUCAAGCGAGGACUUGUACACACACUACGAUCCUAAUGAACAUAUAAUCACACAUAUAUGCAUUCAAUUAGUCUUAAAUCACUAAUUGAUAAAGUUAAGACAUCCUAGACAUAAUAAACACUUUAUAUAAGUGUUUUAAGCCCUAAGGAUUGCAUCUAAGCUAUUGUGGGACAAGGUACUUGUGUUUAGGGUUCCAAAGGACCCCAUAUAUGAGUUUACUCCUCAUAUACUAACACACAUGGAGUUUACGGUUGUAAACUCUUGAGUUUACGGCCGUAAACUCCCAACCAUGGGGUAUUUGUGUGUUUUGAAGUCCCAAAUGAUUUCUAGAAUUAUUCCAACUUGGUGGUUCCAUCCUUGAAGGGGUUUAAGGCAUAGAAACACUCCAUUUAGGAGUUUACGGCCCCAAGGCCAUUUCCUUUGGAGUUUACGGCCGUAAACUCCCUUGGAAUGGUGUUUUUGUUGUUUUCAAGUCUCUUGCAUAUGAAGGAUAGGUUCUAGACUUUUACCUAAAGCAUAUGAAGGCAAUAGGCACACUUUGGUGCCCCUUUAAUGAGUUUACGGCCCAUGAACCAUGUCAUGGCCGUAAACUCACUUUUCAAGGUGAUUCUUAUGUGUUUAAGGCCCUUGAUUUAUUGGGAACAAGUCUAGGUAAAAGUCCAAGGUUUUAGGUACCUUAAAAGCACCAUUUGGUGCUUAAAUUUGGAGUUUACGGCCUAAGAAACUCUUGGGCCAUGAACUCCCAAAAUUGGGUGGUUCUUGCUUGAUUUCAUGUCCCUAACACACUCCUAUACAAGUACAAGGCAGUUGUAUAUCACGGGGGAUAGUCUAGGCUUCGUUUCGGGAGUUUACCGCCCAAGAACACCUUGGGGAGUAAACUCCUAAAUCUAGUGAUUUAGCCUUCUAAAUCAUGUUAUAACUACAUAUAAAGCUUUCUAACACUACUAGAAAGAGUUACUCACGUUUUGGUAUAAAAACCCGAAGAUCCGUGAGAGAGAAAAUGGCUUUUCUCUAGAUGGAAAUGUGAAUAAUGAAUGAAUUUCGUUCAGAAUUCUAUUUAUAGUCCUGAGAUAUUUUUGGCAGAAAAUAUUUUUAUUCCUGAAAUGAUCUCUAAUAUAAUAGAGUGUUGGAAUAACAGUGUUGCACAAAACCCUAGUGCACCCACUCUCCUGAUAUUUCCUGAAGUGUAAACCCUGAAUUACUCAAACUUACACUAAAAAGUCAGAAAAUUAAAUGUGACUGCUAUAACUUCUAUUGAAGUGAUAUAGUUUGUACAAAAUGGAAAUUUCGGGUUGUCACACCCAGCCCAUAGCAUUAGCCACUAUAAGAGAUAGUGACUUAACAUGGCCGUUCCACAAUGUUAGGGCUUUAGUUUUGAAGGUGCAAGCAGCGAACUUCACCUUGCUCUCCUCGGAACAAGAGCAGAUUUCGAAAACCGAUUUGGUUUUCUCGAACCAUUGCGAGAGAGCAAUGACUCCGCCAGUCCCCUUGAAGGACAAUGGAUUGCAGUUCGUGAAGUCCUUAUAGGAGCACUCUCUUGAGCGCAAAGGAGCUUCAACCUGAACAGACUGAACAAAGGUUCCUCCUCUAGUGGAACCAGAUGAAUGAUACUGGGCCAUGGCUGUAGCCACUGCUGCAGCUAUAGCAGCAUUUAAGACUGUCGUGUCGAACUGAGGAGUAGGUGGUUGAGGAGGUGGAGGAGGUGGUGUAUCGUUAUUGAGGUUUCUCCUCGGAUUUCUGCGAGGCGGCAUCUUUGAUCUAUAGUUUAUGAAGAUGAAAACAUUCAUAAGAUUUUAAUGGAAGAAUUGAUGGGAAUGACUCAUGGACUAACUCUCCAUAGCCCAAACGAUACGAUUGAAUGGAAAUCUAGAACUAAUAGAUGAUCACAUUUGGAAAAUAAUUCCCAUAAGAUUAGGUACCUGUGAAUAUUACUGGAAUUACAGAUGUAACCAGUUCGGGAAAAACGGCCAACAGAAAAUAGGCCUUACAUCAACCAAAAUGGGAAGAUUUUGACAAAAUUACAGCCUAACCAAGACCUACCAGGCCUACGAUUUACAAGAUAGGGAAUUAGACCAGAGUUUUACAUAACUACGUUAUAUCCAAAAGAGAGAAGUUGAUGAGAAUCUAUCAGCGACGAGAACUACAAGAGUGAGUCCUUGAUCCCGACAGAAGAUGUUCUAUAUCCCUUAUAUGCCUAUCAGCCCUUGCUUGCUGAGCUCGAAGUUCUCUGACUUCAGCUCGCGUUUCAGUGAGUUCCCUCUGAAGAGCUGCAUUGUGAACCAGAUCCCUUUCAUGGGCAGACUCUAGUUGGCGAAUGCCGACAAUGUUAACACCAGUGUUGGCAUCAAUCUCCAAGACUCGAUUGAUAGAUGAUUGACCUAGUAUCAUGUUCCGAGAAAUCCUAUGAACCAUGAUGGGUAUGACUCUGUCAGCAGAACCUCCAUUAGUGAGGUUGUAGGAACUUCUGUCUCCAUUUUAGGGAAUAGGUUGACUCUGUUCAUGGCUCCAUGUAUUCAAGUUUAUUGCCUACAGAGGUAUGGGUACUAGAAAUGUUGGACGAGGGUCAGGGUUUUGAUCCGCUGGGGGCAGGUUGUUGACUUCUGGCUCUGAGCCAGAACCAUCAGAAAAGCGUUCAGCUUCAUGAUCAUCCAAAGGGAUUGGGUGAUCAUCCUCAGGUUCAUCCUCUAGCCAUCCUGCAUUGCCGUGGUUGGGAUAUUACGGGUCUCCGGGAAUGUGGAAUCCAUCCAUUAAAUCUACGCGAGAAGGGAGGUAUAAGAAUCUAGCACAUAAGUAACUUAUAGUAAUGCAAAAUACUCCUAUAGUAUUUUAAUUUUAGGUUCUGUUGUUCUCAUCGGGGUAUUGUAGGUAAGUUUUUAAACUUGUUGCAACCUCACAACCACACUAAGGCACGUGCUAGUCUACCCUCAGAUAAUAUAGUUGAUCAGGCUAUAUCUUCCCAGUUUUGACCAUAUGUAUCUAAGUCUAAUUGUGUUGCCCAACAAUCGUAAUACUUUUUGUACAGUCUUAGUGACAUUGAUUUUACAAUGAAUGCAGGCACGUAUACUUAAUUAAAUAUUUUAAUAUUUAAAGUAUAAACUCUUAGUCAGAGUAUUUUAAUCCCAAUGUAUUUAUAGUUAGUAUAUCUUUUAUGGGUUGAUAUAGUCAAUUCACUAUAAACAAUGCUUUGAUACCAAUCUGUUGCACGCCAAAACCAUGAACGGCGGAAACGUUUUGGGGCGGAGGACGUCAUCUGUAGUAUCUCAUCAAUGAAUAAUAGUAAACAAGCAACAACAUCAUCCAUUGCAUUAAUAAUAUAAUUUCAUACAUGUGUGUUCUGUCAAGUUAUAUAGACACCAAAAUAUACAUAUCAAAAUAAAAGAUGAGUCUUGAACGAACUCCAUCUGCUCAAAAGCCUGGCACAUGUACCUAUCUAUUGGUGACCUGAGAAUACAAGUUAUUUUGAAAGCGAGUAUCAGCUUAAAGCUGGUGAGAUCAGAAGAUGUUUUGUACACUGUUUUGUAUAAUGUUUGAACUCUCCUAGAAAACCCUAUGUUUCCUACUAACUGUAGCCUUCUACCAAGGCAUCUAGAGUCUAUGUGUAUGUCUCUUGUUAGAGUGUGUGUUUUCCCAAUUCUGACUAUCAUUAACCAAAAAUAUAGUAUCUACAUUACCGUGCAUCGUGUGAAUAUUCACGAAGUGAAUGUAAUGGGAAAAUAUUAUCGUACCGUAGUAUUUGUAAUAAGUGACUACCAUUGUACUAACUACCUUAAAACAAAAGGUGUUCAAUGUAACAUGUGAUCGACCUGUAUCCUACUACUGACUCUAGUAAAACGACGAUUUAAGACGCCGUAAAAAAUGACAUUUGGCACCUGUAGACUUGAAAGUCCCACUGUAGCGAGCACCAAGGUGUAGGAUAGUCAAUCCAGUAUAGAUCUAUAUGCAUAAUCAUACGCUCCCCAAUUAAGGAGAUUCGGGAUACAAAAACGGUCAUGGCAGGAAGUGCCAUGACCCGCUUAAUGGUUCACAUAAUUGCAUGAAUGUAUAUGUAAUAAAUGUCCUAACUGAAAGUGUACUCUUUCUCUGUCUUGCCUAUAUGUACUGAAAUGUUCUGCGUGUGCUAGCUGUAAUGUAUGUUCUCUCUCUAUCUAGCAUGUAUAGUAAUGUACUGAAUCAUGAAUGAACUGACUCAUUGUAUGUUUCAUUGUUCUAGUAAUAGUAUUAGUAUCCUCCUGUGCUACCCCUAUGGAAACUUACUAGUGAUGUAACUGGUACGUAUUAACAUGGAAGUAUACCCUUGCUACCCAAGGGUAUUAAAUUGACUGGAAAAACCUUUAAUACUAUUUAUGUACACAUGAUAUAUAACUAAUAUUUAAACGACCUUCGAACGGAUACCCGAUACCCCACCAGACCACAUCCUAACGGAGAAAAGGAAAUAAGGCGGGCUGGCCUUCCUAAGCCUUUUAAACAUUGCAUAUAUAACUAUACAUACAUAGGCAUGCAUCUGAUAAUAAGUAUAACAGAGCUUAAGUAAAUGUAUUUGAUAAGUAAGAUAGCUUGUAAAACAGUUUGAAGCAAAACAGUUUGAUAAACAGUUUGAACAGUAAGAAAAACUACUAGAUUUGUAGUUAUUAAUCACAUGUGAUUGAUAUAAUAACUAUAAGUAUUCAACUUGUAUUCCCCCCCCCCCCUAAAAANCCCCCCCAUUAAAGCAUUUAAAAACAUUCAAACCAUUGAUUAAGGGGUAUGAACUCACCUGUAGUGAGUGGUACGGAUGAACUGAAGAUGUAGGAUUGCUAGGUGUCAAGUGAAGUCUUGAACACACUCUAUGAUCCUAGUUAACAUUUAAUACAACAUAUAUGUAUCCAAUUAGUCUUAAACUACUAAUUGAAAAUGUUAAGACAUCCUAGAACAUGAUAAACCCUUUAUAUAAGUGUUAUAAGCCUUCAAGAUUGCAUCUAAGUUGCUGUAGGACAAGGCUAGUGGGUUUAGGGUUCCAAAGGACCCCAUUCUUGAGUUUAGUCUCCAAUACCAUAACAACAAGGAGUUUAUGGUCGUAAACCCUUGAUUUUACGCCUGUAAGCUCCUAAGCCUUAGUUUAUUUGGUGUUUUGAAGUCUUAUAUGUCGCUUAGAAGUAUUGCUACUUGAUGGCUUAGUCCG